This 240-nucleotide unclassified non-coding RNA is filed under the name soil metagenome. RNAcentral describes it as "partial contains 5.8S ribosomal RNA, internal transcribed spacer 2, and large subunit ribosomal RNA". The record is from RNAcentral.
AACGCACGAGACCUGCGGACCUGCGGAGGGAUCAUCAUUGAAUCCAUUUCUACUCACCCUUGUGAACUGUAUGUGAACCAGGUAUUUUGGCAAGACAGCGUUUAGUGAGGCCGAGUGGACACACUUUGCCAUUCUAGGCGUGCACCAGGGCUCAAUGCCUUGGUACCUUGCCAAAUGCCUAUUUUGAAAUCACUCGUAAAUACUUUUUAUCUGAAAAUUCUUUUAAAAUUAAAACAACUU